GGGUGGAUUAGUGGCGAACGGGUGAGUAACACGUGAGUAACCUGCCCUUAACUCUGGGAUAAGCCUGGGAAACUGGGUCUAAUACCGGAUAUGACCUUCCAUCGCAUGGUGGUUGGUGGAAAGCUUUUUGUGGUUUUGGAUGGACUCGCGGCCUAUCAGCUUGUUGGUGAGGUAAUGGCUUACCAAGGCGACGACGGGUAGCCGGCCUGAGAGGGUGACCGGCCACACUGGGACUGAGACACGGCCCAGACUCCUACGGGAGGCAGCAGUGGGGAAUAUUGCACAAUGGGCGCAAGCCUGAUGCAGCGACGCCGCGUGAGGGAUGACGGCCUUCGGGUUGUAAACCUCUUUCAGUAGGGAAGAAGCGAAAGUGACGGUACCUGCAGAAGAAGCGCCGGCUAACUACGUGCCAGCAGCCGCGGUAAUACGUAGGGCGCAAGCGUUAUCCGGAAUUAUUGGGCGUAAAGAGCUCGUAGGCGGUUUGUCGCGUCUGCCGUGAAAGUCCGGGGCUCAACUCCGGAUCUGCGGUGGGUACGGGCAGACUAGAGUGAUGUAGGGGAGACUGGAAUUCCUGGUGUAGCGGUGAAAUGCGCAGAUAUCAGGAGGAACACCGAUGGCGAAGGCAGGUCUCUGGGCAUUAACUGACGCUGAGGAGCGAAAGCAUGGGGAGCGAACAGGAUUAGAUACCCUGGUAGUCCAUGCCGUAAACGUUGGGCACUAGGUGUGGGGGACAUUCCACGUUUUCCGCGCCGUAGCUAACGCAUUAAGUGCCCCGCCUGGGGAGUACGGCCGCAAGGCUAAAACUCAAAGGAAUUGACGGGGGCCCGCACAAGCGGCGGAGCAUGCGGAUUAAUUCGAUGCAACGCGAAGAACCUUACCAAGGCUUGACAUGGACUGGAAAUACCUGGAAACAGGUGCCCCGCUUGCGGCCGGUUCACAGGUGGUGCAUGGUUGUCGUCAGCUCGUGUCGUGAGAUGUUGGGUUAAGUCCCGCAACGAGCGCAACCCUCGUUCUAUGUUGCCAGCACGUGAUGGUGGGGACUCAUAGGAGACUGCCGGGGUCAACUCGGAGGAAGGUGGGGACGACGUCAAAUCAUCAUGCCCCUUAUGUCUUGGGCUUCACGCAUGCUACAAUGGCCGGUACAAAGGGUUGCGAUACUGUGAGGUGGAGCUAAUCCCAAAAAGCCGGUCUCAGUUCGGAUUGGGGUCUGCAACUCGACCCCAUGAAGUCGGAGUCGCUAGUAAUCGCAGAUCAGCAACGCUGCGGUGAAUACGUUCCCGGGCCUUGUACACACCGCCCGUCAAGUCACGAAAGUUGGUAACACCCGAAGCCGGUGGCCUAACCCCUUGGGGAGGGAG
Molecule: ribosomal RNA, 1358 nt
Filed under: Pseudarthrobacter phenanthrenivorans
Lineage: Bacteria; Bacillati; Actinomycetota; Actinomycetes; Micrococcales; Micrococcaceae
Description: bacterial SSU rRNA
Rfam family: Bacterial small subunit ribosomal RNA
Source: RNAcentral